UAACGACUCUCGGCAACGGAUAUCUCGGCUCUCGCAUCGAUGAAGAACGUAGCGAACUGCGAUACUUGGUGUGAAUUGCAGAAUCCCGUGAACCAUCGAGUCUUUGAACGCAAGUUGCGCCCGAAGCCGUUUGGCCGAGGGCACGUUUGCCUGGGUGUCACA
RNAcentral lists this ribosomal RNA (162 nucleotides) under Leptospermopsis erubescens. RNAcentral's name for it is "Leptospermum erubescens 5.8S ribosomal RNA". It matches the Rfam family "5.8S ribosomal RNA". Rfam says of the family: 5.8S ribosomal RNA (5.8S rRNA) is a component of the large subunit of the eukaryotic ribosome. Lineage: Eukaryota; Viridiplantae; Streptophyta; Magnoliopsida; Myrtales; Myrtaceae. RNAcentral also lists the same sequence under 2 other names. The record is from RNAcentral.